UGUACGAGCCCCGGCCGGAACAGCGGCAGAU
This 31-nucleotide small RNA is filed under the name Bombyx mori (domestic silkworm). RNAcentral describes it as "ovarian small RNA-35406". The record is from RNAcentral. Lineage: Eukaryota; Metazoa; Arthropoda; Insecta; Lepidoptera; Bombycidae.